This is a non-coding RNA of Camellia sinensis, 806 nucleotides long. NCBI's taxonomy places the organism in Eukaryota, Viridiplantae, Streptophyta, Magnoliopsida, Ericales, Theaceae. The record is from RefSeq and is a predicted model, not a curated record.
UAGCCAAUACCUCUUGGUGAAAGAGCAUGAUCCGAGGUACAUAGCACUAAGUUGUGUCGCAUCAUGGUAUUUUCUAAUCUAUGAGGCAAUUCAUUUAGGACAUUGGCUUAUAUAAUCUGUGUUAUCUUAUGCAUGAUUCUUGUUUAUGGGUGUAGCUUCCGUCAAUGCUUUUAAGCUGUUUUGUUUAUAUGUUAUCAAUGCUUGGAUCCAUUCCAAAGAAUCAACAAAGUUAUUCUGCAUUUUGAUGUUGAAGAUCGCAAACUUCGCCUCAUUUUUCGACCCUAUCCUUAGUAUACAUUGCAAGCAUAAGACCCUGCUGGUUUUGAAUGGAGUAAGAGGUUCACAUUCCUGUCUGAGAAAGUAGUGAGCAUGUUCUUUAAUCAGGCUCCUUGAGGUAACCCACCCAACUCUGGGCCCAGGCAAUACUAAUGCUGCAUAUUUGGUGAGCUCUAGUUGACCUUCAGAGACUAAAUCCUUAGAAUGCCCAUAAUGGAGGUUGAGGAUCCUCUAUCUAGGUCUCUCUCAUUCCCUUGUACCAAGGCUCUUCCCUAUUACACUGGGGUGCAACUUGGGCGGGCCGGGACUCUCUCUAAUGUGCUAAAAUUUUGGGCUUAGGCAGUAUAAUUUGAAAUUUGGUCAAGGUUGGGGCUAAAGUUUGCUAAAUUGGCCUUGACUUGGGUAGGUGCUCUCACUACCUAAGCAACUCGAAUUCUAUUAAUACAUGUAAAAUAUAUAUGGUAAACACUAUAUUGUAACGUAAAACAUUCUACUUUUUUUCACAUUAACUCAAACUAAUUUUCUUAACA